UCUUGAACACUGCCAUUAAUUUCCUCUCCUGCCUUACCAAUUCCUUUUUCUCUCCUUUCCUUUCCCUUCCUUCUUUCCUUCUUUCUCCCUGUCUCCCCCACCCUCCUAGCUUUCUUUGUUGCAGAAGAGGAUGCACAGAGCUGUGGUGAAAUACUUCAGACAACGCAGCCUCUACAGCCUGGAUGAACUGGCCCGCUUCCAGAACCUCUCUAACGAGAACAACCAGAAAAUAAUAACCAUCCAGGAGGAGUUGUCAGAAGCAAUCCAGCGCAUCUCUGCUUUCCUGUAGUCAGUGGCAGAUGACUCAACUACAGCAACAGUGAUCAUGCUGCGACAAUAGAGACAGCAGCAGAGAACAAACAAGCGGGUCCGGAUGCCAUUGGAUUGAACAAGAAGAAGAUGCCUACAGUUCAGAUAACAGCGUAAUUGGACAUUCACCUGGUCCCAGACAACUUACUUACCCCUGUACGCUUCACUAACUCACUAUGCCCCCUCUCUCUCUCUUACCAGCAGCAGAUCCAUAACAAUGAAACAGGUGACUUUCAUGCUGCUGUCAGGACUGAUCUAAUUUUAGCUGGGUGAAUGAUUGCAAUUGGCUUUGCCUCAUCAGAUAAUUAAUCUAUGUCACCAUUAAUUGGAAAAGAGAAUAAUUACAGGCAGUGUUGACAGAAACUCUACGCUUCUCCAGAUUUCGAGAUCUAAUUACGACUACUAAAACCCUCCGUGACCUUAACUAGCACUUAGUACAUCACCUCGACCACCCUGACCAAUGCCGAAGCAAAACAACUUCCUCUCGGUAGACAUUAAGCCCUGUUUUUGUUGUUUAAUUUUUUUUCUCCCUCUCUCUUUUCUCUCUCACUGUGCUCUCCUAGAAAGCUGUCUCCCUCAAUCACUUUUCAAUGUUCAAUCUUAAUUUUGUGGAAGUUUAGCAUUUUCAAUGAGCUGGAUAUGAAUGAUUAAUGAAUACAUUUAAAUGCUU
This is a non-coding RNA of Salmo salar (Atlantic salmon), 979 nucleotides long. The record is from RefSeq and is a predicted model, not a curated record. Lineage: Eukaryota; Metazoa; Chordata; Actinopteri; Salmoniformes; Salmonidae.